RNAcentral lists this ribosomal RNA (3191 nucleotides) under Lophophytum leandri. RNAcentral's name for it is "23S ribosomal RNA". It matches the Rfam family "Bacterial large subunit ribosomal RNA". Lineage: Eukaryota; Viridiplantae; Streptophyta; Magnoliopsida; Santalales; Balanophoraceae. The record is from RNAcentral.
UUCAAAUAAAUUAAAACUUUUAGGUAGAAAAUUAGAUAUCUAUAUAAAAUUAAGAAGGGCGUUUAUUUAAUUAACGAAAUUUUUCGAGAAAUUUUUAUUAUUUUUAAAUAAUUAAAUAAAUAUAAUAUAUGGAUUCAAAAAUUCCCUAAUAUGUUAACUUUAAAAUUAAAAAAAACUUUUGCUAAAUCUAUAAGCAACUAAGAAGUAAAUAGAAAAAUUGAAAUAUCUUAAUAUUCUUUAAAAAAAAAUAUAUAAAAUUAAAAAAGAUUCUUAUAGUAUUUGUGAAUGAAAUAAGAAAUAAAUAGUCUAUACAAUAAUACAAUAAAUAAUAAUAAAUAAAAUAAAAUAAUAUAAUAAUAUAAAAAUAUAAAUAUAAGAUUAAAUAAAAUAUAUUUUUACCUUAGAUGGUAUAAGUCCAGUAGUCAAAAUAUUAUAUAUAUUAUAUAUUAUAUAUUUAUUAUAUUUAUUAUCAAUAUUUAUCAAUAUUUAUUAUAAAUUAUAUAUUAAAUUAUAUAUCAAUUAUCUUAAUUAGUAUAAGAUAGAUUAAUCUUGUAUGAAUUAGCAAGAUCCACCUUGCAAGACUAAACAUAUUUUAUAGAUAAUCGAUAGUGAAAAGUACUGUAAAGGAAUAUUGAAAAGAACCAUUUAAUUGGAGUGAAAUAGAAUAUAAAACCAUAAGUUUAUAACUAGUAGUAAGUUUUUUUAAUAUGAAUUUAAUGACUGCAUGCCUUUUGAAGAAUGAACCUUCAACUCAUUAAUAUUGACCUUAGUUUUUUUUUUACUUAUUUUAUAGCUUAUAGUGAAAGCAUGCAUUUUAAAAAUUCAAUUGUCAUUAUUUAUGAACCCGAAUCCAAGUGAUCUAUUCAUGGUUAGGAUGAAAUUUUUAUUUUUUUAAUUUAGGUCCGAACCAAUUGAUGUUGAAAAAUCAUUGGAUGAUCCAUGAUUAGAGGUGAAAUGCCAUUCGAACUUGGAGAUAGCUGGUUCUCCUCGAAAUGUGUUAAUGCACAACGGUUUAUUUAUUAAUUUUUUUUAGGGGUAAAGAAUUUUUUUGACAUAUAUUUUUUUAAUAAAAUUUAUAUUUAACUUAAAACAAAUUCAAAAUACUUAAAAAAUUUAUAAACUAGUGAGAUGAUGUGGGGAUAAGCUUCAUCAUCAAUAGGGAAACAGCCCAAAUUUUUUAUUAAGGUUCCAAAAUGAUCAUUUAUUUAUAUAAAGAAAGUAAAAAUAUAUAAACAUACAAAAGGUUUACUUAGAAGCAGUUAACCUUUAAAAAGUGCGUAAUUGCUUAUUGAUAUAAUGUUUUUGCAUCAAUUAUUAAUGGAUAUAAAUUAUCUGCCGAAAUUGUAAAAUAAAAUAUAAAAUAUAUGAAAUAAAAAAAUUCAUAAUUGAUAUUGAUAUAUAUUGGUAGAGGAGCGUUCUAUAUUUAUAUAUUUUUAUAAUUUUUAAUUAUAAAUAUAUUAAAAUAUAUUAAAGAAUUAAAAAAUAAUAAUAAUAUAAAUAAUAAUAAAUAAAUACAAAAGAUAAAUAAAGAAGUGAGAAUGAAGGUUUUAAUAACAUAAAUAUUGGUGAGAAUCCAAUUCUCUGAAAUUUUAAUGUUUCCUUUGAAAGGUUUUUCCACAUAAGGUUAAGUCAGAUCCUAAAAUAAUUUUAUUAAAGAAAAUAAUUGAUGGAAAACCGGUAAAUAUUCCUUUUUAUUGGUACUAUCUAUAAACUAAAAUAUAAAAAAAAUAUUUAUUUAUAUAUAUUGAUUUAAAUUAUAAAAGAAUAGUUUUAGGUUAAACGAAAAGUAGAAUUAUCGGUUAAAAAAACUUAAAAUUAUAUUUAUUUUAUUUUAAUUAAAUUUUAAAAUUAAAAUGAUGAAGAAAUAGUAGAGAAAAUACUAAUAAUUUAUGUUUUAAUAAUAUGUAUAUUAAAUUAAUAUACUAAAAAACCUAUAUCAUAUUUUCAUGAAAAUAAUUAAAAAAAAAUAAAGAUAAAAGAUAUCUGUACAUAAAACUAACACAGGUAACUAGGUAAAGAAUACUUAAGAGUCGAGAUAAUUUUUUUUAAGGAACUAGGCAAAAUAAUCCCAUAACUUUGGGAUAAGGGAUACUUAUAUUUUUUAUUGUGAGUUUCAGUAACUAGGUUUGAGCGACUGUUUAACAAAAACACAGGUCUCCGCUAAAUUGUAAAAUAAUGUAUGGGGGCUGAUGCCUGCCCAGUGCUGUUAAAGUUAAAAAAAAUUGGUAAUUUAACUAACUUUUUUUAAACUUACAUUAUAAGCUAAUAAUUUUAACUACAGUAAACGGCGGCUGUAACUAUAACGGUCCUAAGGUAGCGAAAUUCUUUGUCGGGUAAGUUCCGACCUGCAUGAAAGGUGUAACGACUUGGACACUGUCUUAAAAAAAAUCUUGGUAAAAUAAAAAUUUCUGUGAAGAUGCGGAAUUCUUUUACCUGGACAGAAAGACCCUAUGAAGCUUUACUAUUUUCUAAUAUUGAUUUUUAUUUUUGUUUAAUUUAAUAUUUAAGUGGAAAAAUUUAUUUUUUUUAACCACUAUUUAAUAUUUUAUAGUUUUAACUUAUUAUCAUAAUAAAUAAUUAAAUGAUAUUAAGGAUAUUUUAGAUAGAUAGUUUAUAUGGGACAUAGAUCUCCAAAAAUGUAAUGGGGGUGCAUUAAUGUUAUUUUUAAUCAUAUAUACAUAUAAAUUUAAAAUAAAAUGCAAAGAUAAAAAAAAGCUUGAUUGUAAAACUAACUUGUUGAACAGGAACGAAAGUUGAUCUUAGUGAUACGACAAUAAAUAAAUUAAAAUUAAAUUAAUAAACAACUAAGUGGAAAGUUUGUCGAUCAACGAAUAAAAGUUACUCUAGGGAUAACAGGCUUAUCUUACCCAAAAGUUCAUAUUGAAGGUAUGGUUUGGCACCUCGAUGUCGGCUCUUCGCUACCUGGAGCUGUAAAUGGUUCCAAAGGUAGGACUGUUCGUCCAUUAAAGCGGUACGUGAGCUGGGUUCAGAACGUCGUGAGACAGUUCGGUCCAUAUCCGGUAUUAGUAUAAGAAUAUUGAAGAUAUUUUUUUUUAGUACGAGAGGACCAAUAAAAAAUAUAUUUAUGGUGUAUCAUUUAUUGUACUUACAGUAAAAUGUUGAGUAGCUAAAUAUAUUUUAUAAUUGCUGAAAGAAUAUAAGUAAUAAGAUAAAUCUAAAAUAAAUAUUCA